Molecule: ribosomal RNA, 584 nt
Filed under: uncultured bacterium
Lineage: Bacteria
Description: bacterial SSU rRNA
Rfam family: Bacterial small subunit ribosomal RNA
Source: RNAcentral
CCUACGGGAGGCAGCAGUGAGGAAUUUUCCGCAAUGGGCGAAAGCCUGACGGAGCAAUACCGCGUGAGGGAUGAAGGAUUUUGGUCUGUAAACCUCUUUUCUCAAGAAAGAAGUUCUGACGGUACUUGAGGAAUAAGCAUCGGCUAGCUCCGUGCCAGCAGCCGCGGUAAUACGGGGGAUGCAAGCGUUAUCCGGAAUGAUUGGGCGUAAAGCGCCUGUAGGUUGUUUAUUAAGUCCGUUGUUAAAGCCUAGGGCUUAACCCUAGAAAAGCAAUGGAAACUAGUAGACUAGAGUAUGGCAGGGGUAGAGGGAAUUUCUAGUGUAGCGGUGAAAUGCGUAGAUAUUAGAAAGAACACCGGUGGCGAAAGCGCUCUACUGGACCAUUACUGACACUCAGAGGCGAAAGCUAGGGUAGCAAAGGGAUUAGAUACCCCUGUAGUCCUAGCCGUAAACGAUGGAUACUAGAUGUUGUGCAUUAUGUACAGUAUCGUAGCUAACGCGUUAAGUAUCCCGCCUGGGGAGUACGCUCGCAAGGGUGAAACUCAAAUGAAUUGACGGCUGAGANGCGAGCGACACGAGGAGAG